This 74-nucleotide transfer RNA is filed under the name Asticcacaulis sp. YBE204. It matches the Rfam family "tRNA". From Rfam's summary of the family: Transfer RNA (tRNA) molecules are approximately 80 nucleotides in length. The record is from Rfam by way of RNAcentral. Lineage: Bacteria; Pseudomonadati; Pseudomonadota; Alphaproteobacteria; Caulobacterales; Caulobacteraceae.
CGGAGAGUGGCGCAGCCUGGUAGCGCACCUGCUUCGGGAGCAGGGGGUCGCAGGUUCGAAUCCUGUUUCUCCGA